CCCUUAGAUGUCCGGGGCCGCACGCGCGCUACAAUGGAUGAAUCAACGCGUCAUCCUGGCCCGAAAGGGUUGGGGAACCGCUGAACCUCAUCCGUGGUUGGGAUUGGGGUUUGUAAUUAUUCCCCAUGAACUAGGAAUUCCCAGUAAGCGCGAGUCAUAAGCUCGCGUUGAUUACGUCCCUGCCCUUUGUACACACCGCCCGUCGCUACUACCGAUUGGAUGGUUUAGUGAGAUCCUCGGAUUGGUCACGGCACGGUGGCAACACUGCGUCGGUAUGCCGAGAAGACGAUCAAACUUGAUCAUCUAGAGGAAGUAAAAGUCGUAACA
Molecule: ribosomal RNA, 327 nt
Filed under: uncultured eukaryote
Lineage: Eukaryota
Description: partial 18S ribosomal RNA
Rfam family: Eukaryotic small subunit ribosomal RNA
Source: RNAcentral